Molecule: transfer RNA, 54 nt
Filed under: Cautires sp. UPOL 000339
Lineage: Eukaryota; Metazoa; Arthropoda; Insecta; Coleoptera; Lycidae
Description: partial tRNA-Ser
Source: RNAcentral
AAAGAGUCAUCCGAAAAAGCUUCUAACUUUUACAAAAAGCAUUACCAUGUUUAU